Molecule: ribosomal RNA, 1372 nt
Filed under: uncultured bacterium
Lineage: Bacteria
Description: bacterial SSU rRNA
Rfam family: Bacterial small subunit ribosomal RNA
Source: RNAcentral
GAUGAACGCUGGCGGCGUGCCUAAUACAUGCAAGUCGAGCGAACGGACGAGAAGCUUGCUUCUCUGAUGUUAGCGGCGGACGGGUGAGUAACACGUGGAUAACCUACCUAUAAGACUGGGAUAACUUCGGGAAACCGGAGCUAAUACCGGAUAAUAUUUUGAACCGCAUGGUUCAAAAGUGAAAGACGGUCUUGCUGUCACUUAUAGAUGGAUCCGCGCUGCAUUAGCUAGUUGGUAAGGUAACGGCUUACCAAGGCAACGAUGCAUAGCCGACCUGAGAGGGUGAUCGGCCACACUGGAACUGAGACACGGUCCAGACUCCUACGGGAGGCAGCAGUAGGGAAUCUUCCGCAAUGGGCGAAAGCCUGACGGAGCAACGCCGCGUGAGUGAUGAAGGUCUUCGGAUCGUAAAACUCUGUUAUUAGGGAAGAACAUAUGUGUAAGUAACUGUGCACAUCUUGACGGUACCUAAUCAGAAAGCCACGGCUAACUACGUGCCAGCAGCCGCGGUAAUACGUAGGUGGCAAGCGUUAUCCGGAAUUAUUGGGCGUAAAGCGCGCGUAGGCGGUUUUUUAAGUCUGAUGUGAAAGCCCACGGCUCAACCGUGGAGGGUCAUUGGAAACUGGAAAACUUGAGUGCAGAAGAGGAAAGUGGAAUUCCAUGUGUAGCGGUGAAAUGCGCAGAGAUAUGGAGGAACACCAGUGGCGAAGGCGACUUUCUGGUCUGUAACUGACGCUGAUGUGCGAAAGCGUGGGGAUCAAACAGGAUUAGAUACCCUGGUAGUCCACGCCGUGAACGAUGAGUGCUAAGUGUUAGGGGGUUUCCGCCCCUUAGUGCUGCAGCUAACGCAUUAAGCACUCCGCCUGGGGAGUACGACCGCAAGGUUGAAACUCAAAGGAAUUGACGGGGACCCGCACAAGCGGUGGAGCAUGUGGUUUAAUUCGAAGCAACGCGAAGAACCUUACCAAAUCUUGACAUCCUUUGACAACUCUAGAGAUAGAGCCUUCCCCUUCGGGGGACAAAGUGACAGGUGGUGCAUGGUUGUCGUCAGCUCGUGUCGUGAGAUGUUGGGUUAGGUCCCGCAACGAGCGCAACCCUUAAGCUUAGUUGCCAUCAUUAAGUUGGGCACUCUAAGUUGACUGCCGGUGACAAACCGGAGGAAGGUGGGGAUGACGUCAAAUCAUCAUGCCCCUUAUGAUUUGGGCUACACACGUGCUACAAUGGACAAUACAAAGGGCAGCGAAACCGCGAGGUCAAGCAAAUCCCAUAAAGUUGUUCUCAGUUCGGAUUGUAGUCUGCAACUCGACUACAUGAAGCUGGAAUCGCUAGUAAUCGUAGAUCAGCAUGCUACGGUGAAUACGUUCCCGGGUCU